CGCCGGAGGUUCGGCCGGAUUUUGGCUUAGUGGCGGAACUUGGGCAGCCCUACGGGAGGCCUAAAGUAGUAGUGGUUGAGCUAGUUGGGUUGGGAGAGAGCUUGGUUGGUUGAACUAAGCUUAUAUAACUAAAACCUUGUAUAUAUAUAAAUAUAUAUGUAUAAGAAAAGAGGUUUUAGAGAAGAAGUAUUUGUAGAGAGUGUUUGCAGAGAUGAAAGAGAGAAUACUUCUAAAAUUCCCAGCAACUAAUUAG
RNAcentral lists this long non-coding RNA (253 nucleotides) under Daucus carota (carrot). RNAcentral describes it as "long non-coding RNA (DCAR_LNC003639)". Lineage: Eukaryota; Viridiplantae; Streptophyta; Magnoliopsida; Apiales; Apiaceae. The record is from RNAcentral.